Molecule: non-coding RNA, 1092 nt
Organism: Procambarus clarkii (red swamp crayfish)
Lineage: Eukaryota; Metazoa; Arthropoda; Malacostraca; Decapoda; Cambaridae
Source: RefSeq, a predicted model, not a curated record
AGACACUCUUGGUUAGACCUUGAGACAGUAUUCCAUCCUUAUUCGCUAAGAACAGGUUACGAAGUGUACAGCUAUUCUCAAAUGAGAAGUUAUUUUGCUAGCAGAUAUUCUGAAUAUGUGGUGACAUAGCGUGUCUGAAGUGACAUGCCAUCAUUCCUUCCCUCCCUCCACCCCUCCUUCUCCCUCACUCCUCCCUCACUCCUCCCUCCCAUUCCGACAAGCGACGACCGUUCACACACAUGACUUAUCACAUCUGAGACGUAUAGAUGUCAUAUAUUUAGACAGCAUUUUCUCCCUUACCUGAUUAUUCCAUGUUCCUGAACAACGGAAUGUGACAUUCCACGUUCCUGAACAACGGAAUGUGACAUUCCACGUUCCUGAACAACGGACUGUGACAUUCCACGUUCCUGAACAACGGAAUGUGACAUUCCACGUUCCUGAACAACGGAAUGUGACAUUCCACGUUCCUGAACAACGGACUGUGACAUUCCACGUUGCUGAACAACGGAAUGUGACAUUCCACGUUCCUGAACAACGGACUGUGACAUUCCACGUUCCUGAACAUUCCGUAGAGUCAUCAGCUUGUGGUCUCUCACGGAGAAGUGUUCUACAGCUCCGACUUCAUAAAGGGUUCGAAUCCCCCCCCCCUUAUAAGUUUCUAAUGACUAUCAGUACAAUUGGGCGAGAUGUAAAUAGUAUUUUGUACAAAUGUUAUCAGGCUGGAAAGAACAAAUUUGUUCUUUCUAGAAGGCUUUUGUAAGUUGACCGCCCGAGGCGGCGCUGGUCUGGUAGUGGUGAUGAUGGUGGCAGAGAUGGUGAUGAUGUUGAGAUGAUGAGUUAGUGUGUUCAGAGCUCCUGACACCUGUUGGCAGGUGUUCACUGGGUGUAUUGACUGUCAUGACAGGUGUUCAAUGGUGUGUCAUGACAGGUGUUCACUGGGUGUAGUGACUGUCAUGACAGGUGUUCAAUGGUGUGUCAUGACAGGUGUUCACUGGGUGUAGUGACUGUCAUGACAGGUGUUCACUGGGUGUUGUGACUGUCAUGACAGUCACCUCCCAACAUAACUGUUAAUAAAGGUAUACAGAUGGUAAA